CGAAUGGGUGCGUAACACGUAGGUGACCUGCCCGAAAGUGGGGAAUAACAGUCCGAAAGGACUGCUAAUACCGCAUACGGUGCGCGGGGUUAGAGAACCGCGCUCCAAAGGUGCAAGCAAUUGCGCCGCUUUCGGAGGGGCCUGCGGCCCAUCAGCUAGUUGGUGGGGUAACGGCCUACCAAGGCGACGACGGGUAGGGGACCUGAGAGGGUGACCCCCCACACUGGCACUGACACACGGGCCAG
Molecule: ribosomal RNA, 245 nt
Filed under: uncultured bacterium
Lineage: Bacteria
Description: partial 16S ribosomal RNA
Rfam family: Bacterial small subunit ribosomal RNA
Source: RNAcentral